Molecule: transfer RNA, 72 nt
Filed under: Camelus bactrianus (Bactrian camel)
Lineage: Eukaryota; Metazoa; Chordata; Mammalia; Artiodactyla; Camelidae
Also listed under: 1 other name
Rfam family: tRNA
About the family: Transfer RNA (tRNA) molecules are approximately 80 nucleotides in length. Their secondary structure includes four short double-helical elements and three loops (D, anti-codon, and T loops).
Source: Rfam by way of RNAcentral
AGGGUAAUAGCUCAGUGGUAGAGCACAUGCCUAGCAUGCAUGAGGUCCUGGGUUCAAUCCCCAGUGACUCCA